GCCGGCAUAGCUCAGUUGGUAGAGCAGCUGAUUUGUAAUCAGAAGGUCGUGAGUUCAACUCUUACUGCCGGCACCA
RNAcentral lists this transfer RNA (76 nucleotides) under Nitrosomonas stercoris. RNAcentral describes it as "tRNA-Thr". It matches the Rfam family "tRNA". Rfam says of the family: Transfer RNA (tRNA) molecules are approximately 80 nucleotides in length. Their secondary structure includes four short double-helical elements and three loops (D, anti-codon, and T loops). The record is from RNAcentral. Lineage: Bacteria; Pseudomonadati; Pseudomonadota; Betaproteobacteria; Nitrosomonadales; Nitrosomonadaceae.